AUGCUCCAAAUGGUUGACUUAUUUCCUCAUUUGUUUUUUCACUCGACUUCCAUGCUCCAAAUGGUUGGCUUAUUUCCUCAUUUGUUUUUUCACUCGACUUCCAAGCUCCAAAUGGUUGGCUUAUUUCCUCAUUUGUUUUUUCACUCGACUUCCAUGCUCCAAAAGGUUGGCUUAUAUCUUCACUUCUUUUUUCACCCCUAGUGUGAGCUUCAUAAGGUUGACUUUCUUUUUUACUCCAUGUGGGAGCUCCUAAAUGUUUAGGUUUUGCAUCAUAAUUCUUGCGGAUACCCAAACUAAUUUUGUUUCCAGGAUAU
RNAcentral lists this long non-coding RNA (314 nucleotides) under Medicago truncatula (barrel medic). RNAcentral's name for it is "long non-coding RNA (MTRU_LNC006145)". The record is from RNAcentral. Lineage: Eukaryota; Viridiplantae; Streptophyta; Magnoliopsida; Fabales; Fabaceae.